Molecule: non-coding RNA, 1046 nt
Organism: Oryza sativa Japonica Group (Japanese rice)
Lineage: Eukaryota; Viridiplantae; Streptophyta; Magnoliopsida; Poales; Poaceae
Source: RefSeq, a predicted model, not a curated record
CUCAAUGGGCUUUUAUAUCCUUCGGCUUUGUGGAUACCCCCACUCCGGCGGCGACGCCGGCGAGCAAACCAUUCCGCCGCGCCGCCGCCUAUCCGCUUCGCCGGCCGGCGGCCGCCCACUGCCUCCCUCGACGCACUGGCUCCGCCAGGGAGUACUCACACGCGGCCGAAGCUUGCCUGCUCAUUCGAUCGACAGCCCUGCUGGCGUCGCCUGCGGGGCACGACGGCGACGCCCUCCGCGGCAGGCCGCCCUCCUUGGAUUUCUUCGGAUCAGGGGUAGCUGCAAAAAUGUGGUUGCUCGCGUUGCCAUUGUUGUCGAUGUUGGUGAGUCCCAUGUACUGUGCUGCCAGUGCUGUGGAUAGAUUGUUGCUCGGCGCAACAACGAAGGCGAUGCCAUGGCAGCUCAGGUUGGGGUAAGAUGUGAGGAUGGCAAACACAAAGGAGGCUGAGAAGGAUUGCACCGUGCCGUUGAGUGACCCGCGGAAGCUCAAGGGAGCUGGGAAGAAGGCAUGGCCUUUGAGCUGGGUCGUGCCGUUGGUCAGCUCAAGGAGGCCGCCUGCUGUGACCGUGGCCGUGCCAUCGAGGGUGACGUUGGCACCGGAGAAGCCAGAGAAGACGAACUGGUCAUCGCUGGCACUGACGGCCAGCACAAGAUUAAAGCCAUGGAACAGCAGGAUAUGGAGAAGAAAGGAGAGUGCAAUCUUCAUGAAAGGCGCGCUGAAGUUUACUUACUGGUGGUGCGGUGGCUUCUUGUUACAUAUGGUCUCAAGUGCUCUGGAUUUCAUUCGGAAAUCGAUAAAUCGACCAUCGUUUUCUGAUGCCAGGGUUGUUUAGCAACAACGUCACAGGACACGUCAACGAAUCUUCUAAGAGAGAUCAGCAAGUGUGUAGCGGAAGUUGAGCGAAAAUUUGUGCUUCCUUCUGGUUGUUGGACAUGGCGCUCAUGCUUGCCGUUGAUGAAGGGUAUGACAUGACGUAUGAGUCGAAUCCUUGGUUCUGCAUCAGUGCAAGUGUAUGAAAGCUGUGGUGUGUUGGCACCAGUUCUGG